Molecule: ribosomal RNA, 478 nt
Filed under: uncultured bacterium
Lineage: Bacteria
Description: bacterial SSU rRNA
Rfam family: Bacterial small subunit ribosomal RNA
Source: RNAcentral
GAUGAACGCUAGCGGCAGGCUUAACACAUGCAAGUCGAGGGGUAUAUUUCUUCGGAGAUAGAGACCGGCGCACGGGUGCGUAACGCGUAUGCAAUCUACCUUUUGCAGAGGGAUAGCCCAGAGAAAUUUGGAUUAAUACCUCAUAGUAUAGUGAGCUGGCAUCAGCGCACUAUUAAAGUCACAACGGCAAAAGAUGAGCAUGCGUCCCAUUAGCUAGUUGGUAAGGUAACGGCUUACCAAGGCUACGAUGGGUAGGGGUCCUGAGAGGGAGAUCCCCCACACUGGUACUGAGACACGGACCAGACUCCUACGGGAGGCAGCAGUGAGGAAUAUUGGACAAUGGGCGCAAGCCUGAUCCAGCCAUGCCGCGUGCAGGAUGACGGUCCUAUGGAUUGUAAACUGCUUUUGUACAGGAAGAAACAUCCCGACGUGUCGGGACUUGACGGUACUGUAAGAAUAAGGAUCGGCUAACUCCGUG